RNAcentral lists this ribosomal RNA (440 nucleotides) under uncultured bacterium. RNAcentral describes it as "partial 16S ribosomal RNA". It matches the Rfam family "Bacterial small subunit ribosomal RNA", at positions 338 to 795 of the family's 1533-position model. The record is from RNAcentral.
CCUACGGGGAGCAGCAGUAGGGAAUAUUGCUCAAUGGGGGAAACCCUGAAGCAGCAACGCCGCGUGGAGGAUGAAGGUUUUCGGAUUGUAAACUCCUUUUGUUAGAGAAGAUAAUGACGGUAUCUAACGAAUAAGCACCGGCUAACUCCGUGCCAGCAGCCGCGGUAAUACGGAGGGUGCAAGCGUUACCCGGAAUCACUGGGCGUAAAGGGCGCGUAGGCGGGAUAGCAAGUCAGAUGUGAAAUCCUAUGGCUUAACCAUAGAACUGCAUUGGAAACUGUUAUUCUAGAGUAUGGGAGAGGUAGGUGGAAUUCUUGGUGUAGGGGUAAAAUCCGUAGAGAUCAAGAGGAAUACUCAUUGCGAAGGCGACCUGCUAGAACAUAACUGACGCUGAUGCGCGAAAGCGUGGGGAGCAAACAGGAUUAGAUACCCGAGUAGUC